UACAGCGGUCCCAAGCGUUGUUCGGAUUCACUGGGCGUAAAGGGUGCGUAGGUGGCUUGGUAAGUUUGAUGUGAAAUCUCCGGGCUUAACCCGGAAAUGGCAUUGAAUACUAUUGAGCUGGAGGUUUGGAGGGGGGACUGGAAUUCUCGGUGUAGCAGUGAAAUGCGUAGAUAUCGAGAGGAACACCUGCGGCGAAGGCGGGUUGCUGGGCUGACACUGACGCUGAAGUGCGAAAGCUAGGGGAGCGAACGGG
This 253-nucleotide ribosomal RNA is filed under the name uncultured bacterium. Its description in RNAcentral is "partial 16S ribosomal RNA". It matches the Rfam family "Bacterial small subunit ribosomal RNA", at positions 524 to 776 of the family's 1533-position model. The record is from RNAcentral.